GACAGAGGAUGCAAGCGUUGUCCGGAAUGAUUGGGCGUAAAGCGUCUGUAGGUGGCUUUUUAAGUCCGCCGUCAAAUCCCAGGGCUCAACCCUGGACAGGCGGUGGAAACUACCAAGCUGGAGUACGGUAGGGGGCAGAGGGAAUUUCCGGUGGAGCGGGUGAAAUGACGUAGAGAUCGGAAAGAACACCAACGCGAAAGCACUCUGCUGGGCCGACACUGACACUGAGAGACGAAAGCUAGGGGAGCGAAUGGG
RNAcentral lists this ribosomal RNA (255 nucleotides) under uncultured bacterium. Its description in RNAcentral is "partial 16S ribosomal RNA". It matches the Rfam family "Bacterial small subunit ribosomal RNA", at positions 524 to 776 of the family's 1533-position model. The record is from RNAcentral.